GCCGGAGUAGCUCAGUGGUAGAGCGUCCGCCUGAAGAGCGGUAGGUCGCCAGUCCGAUUCUGGCCUCCGGCA
RNAcentral lists this transfer RNA (72 nucleotides) under Candidatus Nomurabacteria bacterium RIFCSPHIGHO2_02_FULL_42_24. Its description in RNAcentral is "tRNA-Phe". It matches the Rfam family "tRNA". Rfam says of the family: Transfer RNA (tRNA) molecules are approximately 80 nucleotides in length. Their secondary structure includes four short double-helical elements and three loops (D, anti-codon, and T loops). Further hydrogen bonds mediate the characteristic L-shaped molecular structure. tRNAs have two regions of fundamental functional importance: the anti-codon, which is responsible for specific mRNA codon recognition, and the 3' end, to which the tRNAs corresponding amino acid is attached (by aminoacyl-tRNA synthetases). tRNAs cope with the degeneracy of the genetic code in two manners: having more than one tRNA (with a specific anti-codon) for a particular amino acid; and 'wobble' base-pairing, i.e. permitting non-standard base-pairing at the 3rd anti-codon position. RNAcentral also lists the same sequence under 1 other name. Lineage: Bacteria; Candidatus Nomuraibacteriota. The record is from RNAcentral.